GUUUACUAGUAAUAUUUUAGUUUUACAAACUCAUAUUAUAUACAGUCGUGUGACUGAUAUUACGUCACUUCUGUUAUGUAUUUUUCUUGCGGUUUCAGUAUCACAUUUUUUUCAUUUCGGUCGCCCAGUCAAAUGUCAAGCCUGCCUUGACUGCUUUGGU
Long non-coding RNA from Melitaea cinxia (Glanville fritillary), 160 nucleotides. RefSeq lists it as uncharacterized. NCBI's taxonomy places the organism in Eukaryota, Metazoa, Arthropoda, Insecta, Lepidoptera, Nymphalidae. The transcript is spliced from 3 exons. The record is from RefSeq and is a predicted model, not a curated record.